RNAcentral lists this ribosomal RNA (775 nucleotides) under uncultured Neocallimastigales. Its description in RNAcentral is "partial large subunit ribosomal RNA". It matches the Rfam family "Eukaryotic large subunit ribosomal RNA", at positions 24 to 646 of the family's 3401-position model. Lineage: Eukaryota; Fungi; Neocallimastigomycota; Neocallimastigomycetes; Neocallimastigales. The record is from RNAcentral.
GUAGUCUCGCACAGAUGCAUAUCAAUAAGCGGAGGAAAAGAAACUAACAAGGAUUCCCCUAGUAACGGCGAGUGAAGCGGGAAGAGCUCAAAUUUGAAAUCUUAAAGGGUUUCCCUUUACGAAUUGUAGUUUAAAGAAGUGUUUUCUGCUGAGGUUUUGGUAAAAGUUCUUUGGAAUAGGACAUCAUAGAGGGUGAGAAUCCCGUAUUUGACCUUUACUUUCAACUUUGUGAUACACUUUCAAAGAGUCGGAUUGUUUGGGAAUGCAGUCCAAAAUGGGUGGUAAAUUUCAUCUAAAGCUAAAUAUUGGCGAGAGACCGAUAGCGAACAAGUACCGUGAGGGAAAGAUGAAAAGAACUUUGAAAAGAGAGUUAAACAGUACGCUGAAAUUGUCAAAAGGGAAGCGUUUGACACCAGUGUUGUUUUUCUGAAAAUCAAUUAAAGAACUGUUUAUGCUAAGUUGUUUAGACUUUAUCAGCUAACUGUUUAGUUUUGAGCUUUUCUUUAAUGCACUUUUCAGUUAACAAGUCAACAUCAAUUUCUUUUGCUGUAAAAAAGCUUGAGGAAGGUGGCUUGAGAUUCGUCUUAAGUGUUUAUAGCCUCUUGCCUAUGCAGUCGGAGAGAUUGAGGUCUGCAGCGUAGAUCCUUCGGGGCUAAAUGCAUUUGUGCUAAGUUAUAGCAUUUUAUAGACAACUUGUUGACUAUGAUUUGUCUUGUAGCUUACUCGCUUAUGUUAUUUUACCUACGCUUAGGAUGUUGAUCUGUAGUGCGUGCGC